RNAcentral lists this ribosomal RNA (372 nucleotides) under uncultured organism. Its description in RNAcentral is "partial 16S ribosomal RNA". It matches the Rfam family "Bacterial small subunit ribosomal RNA", at positions 527 to 896 of the family's 1533-position model. The record is from RNAcentral.
GUAGGUGGCAAGCGUUGUCCGGAAUUAUUGGGCGUAAGCGCGCGCAGGCGGUUCUUUAAGUCUGAUGUGAAAGCCCACGGGCUCAACCGUGGAGGGUCAUUGGAAACUGGAGAACUUGAGUACAGAAGAGGAAAGCGGAAUUCCACGUGUAGCGGUGAAAUGCGUAGAGAUGUGGAGGAACACCAGUGGCGAAGGCGGCUUUCUGGUCUGUAACUGACGCUGAGGCGCGAAAGCGUGGGGAGCAAACAGGAUUAGAUACCCUGGUAGUCCACGCCGUAAACGAUGAGUGCUAAGUGUUAGGGGGUUUCCGCCCCUUAGUGCUGCAGCUAACGCAUUAAGCACUCCGCCUGGGGAGUACGGCCGCAAAGGCUG